UCUAGAAUAAUAUCUUCUUGC
RNAcentral lists this non-coding RNA (21 nucleotides) under Arabidopsis thaliana (thale cress). The record is from RNAcentral. Lineage: Eukaryota; Viridiplantae; Streptophyta; Magnoliopsida; Brassicales; Brassicaceae.